RNAcentral lists this ribosomal RNA (274 nucleotides) under uncultured bacterium. RNAcentral describes it as "partial 16S ribosomal RNA". It matches the Rfam family "Bacterial small subunit ribosomal RNA", at positions 523 to 796 of the family's 1533-position model. The record is from RNAcentral.
AUACGGAGGGUCCAAGCGUUAUGCGGAUUCAUUGGGUUUAAAGGGUCCGCAGGCGGGAAAAUAAGUCAGUGGUGAAAGCCUACAGCUCAACUGUAGAACUGCCAUUGAUACUGUUUUUCUUGAGUAUAGAUGAAGUGGGCGGAAUAUAUCAUGUAGCGGUGAAAUGCAUAGAUAUGAUAUAGAACACCGAUUGCGAAGGCAGCUCACUAAACUAUUACUGACGCUCAGGGACGAAAGCGUGGGUAGCAAACAGGAUUAGAUACCCUAGUAGUCC